Scylla paramamosain (green mud crab) is the source of this 478-nucleotide long non-coding RNA. RefSeq lists it as uncharacterized. NCBI's taxonomy places the organism in Eukaryota, Metazoa, Arthropoda, Malacostraca, Decapoda, Portunidae. The transcript has 4 exons. The record is from RefSeq and is a predicted model, not a curated record.
GGUUGGGAGGCCAUGGCGUCAGCACUAUCCUAGACUGCGGUGGUUAUUUUGUGUCGGGCAGCAGAAAGCAGAGGCCGCAUUAAGAUAUAGACCGUGGUGAUUACUUUGACAUCCUUACAGCGUGCAGUGCUGUGAAGAGCUGUGAGGAACAAAUUGUUGGAGAUGUUGUCCAGGUGACCUCUGAAUUUCAGCCAAGGGCCAGCAGCAGAGAUGUGGUCUGUAGUGCACUUCCCCUUUACCUAUGUCCAAAUUCCAGGAUAAUGAAUAAUGGAGGCUUUCCUGUCAAUCAAUACAUGUUGAAAUGCCAAGAUGUGAAAAGACAGGCAUCCUUAAGAUUAGGUUCUUUGGAUUCAUCUUGUCAAAAGGAGACAACAACUGCAAACGCUGUGAUUCUGGGCUAACAUCAACAGACACACUAGAUCCAUCACUUGGAGGUGCCUGGAGCAAACAUUGAGGUUGUAAAGUCAGAUUUUAAAUG